RNAcentral lists this transfer RNA (91 nucleotides) under Pseudomonadota bacterium. Its description in RNAcentral is "tRNA-Ser". It matches the Rfam family "tRNA". From Rfam's summary of the family: Transfer RNA (tRNA) molecules are approximately 80 nucleotides in length. RNAcentral also lists the same sequence under 3 other names. Lineage: Bacteria; Pseudomonadati; Pseudomonadota. The record is from RNAcentral.
GGAGAGGUGCCGGAGUGGUCGAACGGGCCUGAUUCGAAAUCAGGUGUACGGUUGUACCGUACCGUGGGUUCGAAUCCCACCCUCUCCGCCA